Molecule: long non-coding RNA, 413 nt
Filed under: Musa acuminata (dwarf banana)
Lineage: Eukaryota; Viridiplantae; Streptophyta; Magnoliopsida; Zingiberales; Musaceae
Description: long non-coding RNA (MACU_LNC011072)
Source: RNAcentral
GAGCAAAAGUAAAUGAAUCAAGAAACAGAGUUUAAGGGCUUCUUAGAGAGUACCUUAAUGAGAUCUUCAAGAGAGGGAAGGAAUGUUGAUGCUUUGCUUCGAAAUGAAGAGUAUUUGGGAUGCUAAGAUGGGGGAAAUGGGGAUGGAGGAGGCUUAGGAGAGUAGAGGAGGGAAGGAAAUGAGUUCGGGUCGGUUUCACCGCCGGCCCUAGCUUGAGUUAUAAAGGGGUAGAGUUGCGGGCGGUUGCACCUCUGGCUGGAGCGGUGCAACCGCUUGCAACACGUGACAGCUGGAGGUGCUACCUCCAGCUGGGGCGGUGCCACCGCCUAGUGAACACUUGUUCUGAUCUGAGAAUUUUUCUGUCUUGAGGAGAGUUUUCAUUCCCAGUAAUCAACUUUACUUACGUAAUUACG